GAUUGAUUGUGGUAAGGAUACUUUAUCUAUGGAGGUAGGAGAUGAAAAAAUAGAAUUUAAUUUUCAUGAUGCAAUGACAUAUCCUUAUAGCAAUGUUUAUUCUAUCACAUGCUAUGACCAAGUUGAUAAGUGUGUGCAGCAAGUUUGUGGAUUAAGCGUAGCUUUGAGCUAUGGCUAUGAUUUUACGAAGAUAAAACAGAUGGAGAGGCAUAUAUGUGUUCCCCACAGCGUGUUCCAAUCAGCAUUGGCUUUGCAAGCUUUUCAAACUGUCCCC
Molecule: long non-coding RNA, 274 nt
Filed under: Populus trichocarpa (black cottonwood)
Lineage: Eukaryota; Viridiplantae; Streptophyta; Magnoliopsida; Malpighiales; Salicaceae
Description: long non-coding RNA (PTRI_LNC004733)
Source: RNAcentral